CCUACGGGAGGCAGCAGUGGGGAAUAUUGCACAAUGGGCGCAAGCCUGACGCAGCCAUGCCGCGUGUGUGAAGAAGGCCUUCGGGUUGUAAAGCACUUUCAGCGGGGAGGAAGGCGUUAAGGUUAAUAACCCUGUCGAUUGACGUUACCCGCAGAAGAAGCACCGGCUAACUCCGUGCCAGCAGCCGCGGUAAUACGGAGGGUGCAAGCGUUAAUCGGAAUUACUGGGCGUAAAGCGCACGCAGGCGGUCUGUCAAGUCGGAUGUGAAAUCCCCGGGCUCAACCUGGGAACUGCAUUCGAAACUGGCAGGCUAGAGCCUUGUAGAGGGGGGUAGAAUUCCAGGUGUAGCGGUGAAAUGCGUAGAGAUCUGGAGGAAUACCGGUGGCGAAGGCGGCCCCCUGGACAAAGACUGACGCUCAGGUGCGAAAGCGUGGGGAGCAAACAGGAUUAGAUACCCCUGUAGUC
This 465-nucleotide ribosomal RNA is filed under the name uncultured Klebsiella sp. RNAcentral describes it as "bacterial SSU rRNA". It matches the Rfam family "Bacterial small subunit ribosomal RNA", at positions 338 to 795 of the family's 1533-position model. Lineage: Bacteria; Pseudomonadati; Pseudomonadota; Gammaproteobacteria; Enterobacterales; Enterobacteriaceae. The record is from RNAcentral.